CACUUAUGAGACGAGCGUUAUCCGGAUUUACUGGGCGUAAAGCGCGUGCAGGCGGUUCAGCAAGUUGGAUGUGAAAGCUCCCGGCUUAACUGGGAGAGGUCGUUCAAAACUACUGGACUAGAGAGUGGUAGAGGGAGGUGGAAUUCCGGGUGUAGUGGUGAAAUGCGUAGAUAUCCGGAGGAACACCAGUGGCGAAAGCGGCCUCCUGGACCAUUUCUGACGCUCAGACGCGAAAGCUAGGGUAGCAAACGGGAUUAGAUAACCCCGUAGUCC
Molecule: ribosomal RNA, 273 nt
Filed under: uncultured bacterium
Lineage: Bacteria
Description: partial 16S ribosomal RNA
Rfam family: Bacterial small subunit ribosomal RNA
Source: RNAcentral